CACUGGGAGGACCUGGGAUCUAUGCUGCGGGUGGCUGCCUCCAGGAUGGCCCCCUUGCACGUGUGUUGUAGCUCAAUUUCUGCCUCUGUCUCCUAGAUGGACUUUGGACCCAGAUUGUAGCUGUGCCUCCAGCCUUGUCUUUGGUUCCAGCACCUGCUGCUCCUGACAGGACUCUCUGCUUGGAGCCUGGACUUAGUUCACUUCUGAAUCUGUGGCAGCUGAUGGGCCCUUUUACCAGCACCCAGCUCUACUUGCCAAGUUGACAUCUUGUGGGACAGCACACUGUUGAGAAACCGCGCACUGCUGACUGACAUCAAUAAGGAGGAUUCUGCAUGACCUGUUUCUGUGCUCCCAGAGUCCUGUGUUUUUCUGGGAUGUGUGGCUGGAAAGCUGAGACCACAGCACAGCUGCAGUAGUUAUGAAUGAUGGAUGAAGACUGGAAUAGAAAGGAGAUUUUUUCUUUAAUGCUUUUAAUAUAAUUCGUUAUUCUCUAAGUCUGGCCUUGCAGCUUUCCAGGUGUAUGUUAUAAAGAUAAGGACACACUUGCAGCCACAGGACUCGCUUAAAGGUUGUAAGGUCUGACACAUCUGAACCAGUCAUGGAGGCCUCCUAUCCAUGUGAAUGUACACUUCUCCUUCCUAGAUAUUAAUCACUGCAUAAGGUGUGUAGCAUAGCACUGUGGAAUGCAAAUUUCUUUCAAACUAAGAUUUUUCUAACUGACUGGUGGAACAGUCAUGAAUGUUCAUCUGUAAAAAUGUGAAAAUCUGCUGGUCUCUAAGUUAUUUGGAAAGAAAAUAACAGAAAAGGCUAAAGGGUGGAUAUAGAGUCACCUUUCCUUGAUCUCUGGGGAGAGGAGGGAGGGGUACUUUAUUUUGAAAAACAUUCUUGCAGGCUAUCAGUCUUUUGCAUAUUCAGUACCAGUGGAAACCAAAUUCAAAUCUGGUAUAGUCCAAAUAAUUUUAUUUUCAGAGUUGCUCCUUUCAACAGCUGUGUUUUUGAUCCAGAAGCAUAGAAUGCAUCAAUUUAACUGAAGCAGCUACUGUCCUUUGCUUUAGCCUCACCAGAUUUUUUAUGCUCAGUAAUUUCCUUAUACAUUUUAGCAAGUCAAAUGUACGCUCUCUUUCUAUGCCCAUUCCCAAUUUGUUUAUUUUCAAUGGAAGCAGAUGCACAUUAGAACCACAGUUUUGGGUAAUAUGCUACUAUGUGCCAAAUUACAGUGAUAUCCCCAACGCUUUGUACAACACUCCAGCAGCGCAAAAAUGGUUGAUUGCUACCUGUUGUCUUACCAAACACUGGAGUAAUUAUUACAGUGAUGCAUAUUGCUACCUUGAAACUGUUUGGAACAGAUUUUACAUGUGAGUAUUCUUCACCAAGUAGCACACUAAGCUAGAGAGCUGUAAACUGCAGACCUGAAUCAAUACCGUAUCUAGCAACAAAGUACAAAACAUAAAUGGAAGAAAAUGCAUGCCAUACACUGACAAAUGGCAAUGAAUAUGAUGAACAAAAAGAAAAAGAAUAAAUUAGCACUUCUCUUUCUCUGCCUCAGUGUCCCAGAAAACUGUAUAUAGAUGAUAGCUUUACAUAGUACUGAACUGUUGCAGCUGCUAAUCUUUUUUUCUGUCAGAAGAGCUAGUCCCAUUUUAUGCUCUAUUUUCACUUCUUUUUUGUAGAGUUCCAAAACCCAACAUUAUAUUUUUUAUGAACAUUUCCACUGAGUGUCUACACUUCUGAAAAUAUUAUUGUAAUUCUAAAUUUAUAAUUCAUCUUUUAAAAAAGAGAAGCAGGGUUCUAUGGCAAUUCAAAAUUGCCUUUCCUUAUUAAGCUAUUCUGGUGUCAGUGCAGUUCGUAUCACUAGGUCUGCAGUCAUCACAGAUCAUGGUUGAUAUCCAAAAGGAUGUUAAAAAUGUGAAUACGGUCAGAGAAUUUUCUUCAUUUCCACAGUUAAAGCACAUUAAAAUACUUCUCAGUUUCAGAUUACUUUCUAAAGCAAUGGUCUUUUGCAGAAAUUCCUUGGAGUUUCAGAGAUUUUGAUUUGACCGGGUCAGUGGGCACUCAUAACUUUUGCGUAUUCUCUGUGUUAAAAAAACAAACAAACAAACAAAAAAAACCUGUGUUGAAAACAUCUUUUAUUUUUGAAAAAAUAAAUGUAGGGGCUUUUCACCUUUUCUCCCUUAGGCCCAUAAACAAAAACAAAAUGAAAUUUUUCCUGCAGGAAAGCUGUAUUUCAUAUCCAUUGAAGUAAUGCUAAACCUCAGUUCGUUUAACAGCUUGAAUUACCUUUUAUUUGGUAUAAGUUUGAGAUUAGUUUUUGACAUAAUCAGAUGUAAAAAAUAUAUGCAGAUGUUCAGGCAGUAUUGGAUCUCAUGAAAAGCCCUCAAAAUUAAUCCAUUAUUUGUGUAGAGAUUCUCUUUCAUGAAUCACAGUGUUGAGGUACUCCCUCCCAUCUUCCUUGGUGCUAGCA
Molecule: long non-coding RNA, 2461 nt
Organism: Numida meleagris (helmeted guineafowl)
Lineage: Eukaryota; Metazoa; Chordata; Aves; Galliformes; Numididae
Exons: 3
Source: RefSeq, a predicted model, not a curated record